This 766-nucleotide ribosomal RNA is filed under the name uncultured bacterium. RNAcentral's name for it is "bacterial SSU rRNA". It matches the Rfam family "Bacterial small subunit ribosomal RNA", at positions 94 to 878 of the family's 1533-position model. The record is from RNAcentral.
AGCGGCGAACGGGUGAGUAACACGUGAACAACCUGCCCCGAAGUCCGGGAUAACCCGGGGAAACUCGAGCUAAUACCGGAUACCCCCUACUGAUCGCAUGGUCGGUAGAGGAAAGAUUUAUCGCUUCGGGAGGGGUUCGCGGCCUAUCAGCUAGUUGGUGAGGUAACGGCUCACCAAGGCAUCGACGGGUAGCUGGUCUGAGAGGACGAUCAGCCACACUGGGACUGAGACACGGCCCAGACUCCUACGGGAGGCAGCAGUGGGGAAUCUUGCGCAAUGGGCGAAAGCCUGACGCAGCAACGCCGCGUGCGAGAGGAAGGCCUUAGGGUCGUAAAUCGCUUUCGACAGGGACGAAAUUGACGGUACCUGUAGAAGAAGCCCCGGCCAACUACGUGCCAGCAGCCGCGGUAACACGUAGGGGGCGAGCGUUGUCCGGAUUUAUUGGGCGUAAAGAGCUCGUAGGCGGCUUAGUAAGUCUGCUGUGAAAGCUCCAGGCUUAACCUGGAGAGGCCAGUGGAUACUGCUAUGGCUAGAGUCCGGUAGGGGAGCGUGGAAUUCCCAGUGUAGCGGUGGAAUGCGCAGAUAUUGGGAGGAACACCAGCGGCGAAGGCGGCGCUCUGGACCGGAACUGACGCUGAGGAGCGAAAGCAUGGGUAGCAAACAGAUUAGAUACCCUGGUAGUCCAUGCCGUAAACGUUGGGCACUAGUGUGGGAUCCCGUCAACGGAUUCCGUGCCGUAGCUAACGCAUUAGUGUCCCGCCUGGGG